GAUGAACGCUGGCGGAGUGCCUAAUACAUGCAAGUCGAGCGAACGGACGUGAAGCUUGCAUCUCUGCUGUUAGCGGCGGAUGGGUGACUCAUACGUGAAUUACCUACCUAUCAGACUUGACUAACUUCGGGACACCGCAACUAAUACCGGAUUAUUUUUUGUACAGCACGGUUCAAAAGUGAAAGACGCUCUUGCUGUCCCUUAUAGCUGGUUCCGCGCUGCAUUAGCUAGUUGGUAAGGUAACGGCAUACAAAGGCAACGAUGCAUAGCCGACAUGAGAGGGAUAUCUGCCACACUGGAACGGAUACACGGUCCAGACGCCUACGGGAGGCAGCAGUAGGGAAUAUGCCGCAAUGGGCGAAAGCCUGACGGAGCAACGCCGCGUGAGUGAUGAAGGUCUUCGGAUCGUAAAACGCUGUUAUUAGGGAAGAACAUAUGUGUAAGUAACUGAGCACAUAUUGACGGUACCUAAUCAGAAAGCCACGGCUAACUACGUG
This 497-nucleotide ribosomal RNA is filed under the name uncultured bacterium. Its description in RNAcentral is "partial 16S ribosomal RNA". It matches the Rfam family "Bacterial small subunit ribosomal RNA", at positions 28 to 507 of the family's 1533-position model. The record is from RNAcentral.